UCCAACUAAAAAUGAUAAAUCCUAAUGACUUAAUUCGAUUUUUAUACCUUUUUUCUCAACCCUUUCAAAAGUGAACACAGAUUGAAAGACGUCAAAUUUGGAUGUUACACCAACCUUACAUGAAAAUGGGCGUCACAAAUCAGAGGCGACACCUUAAUACCAAUUCGUUAAGAUUGUCCAGGUGCGUUUAUAAGAACAGACUAGAAAGCACGUAGCUGAGAGGAAUCGUCGAGCUAGGAUAAACUAUUACCUAGAAGAAAUAGAAAAACUAAUUAGUCCAUCAAUAAUACAGCCAAGUUCUCCAGCGAAACUAGAAAAGGCAGAAGUUUUGGAGAGAGCGGUGAAUUAUUUAAAACGGCACAAAGCAUCACAAAUGAAUGUGCAUCAGAAUUAUAUACGGGGAUUCUUAGAGUGUAUCAGAAGUAUCCAAGCUUUGAUGUUAACUAUGAAGGUUUCGGAAAAUGACGUCAGACAUAUCUUCCACGGAUGCUUAGCAAGUGUUAAAAAUCGAUUACAAAUUGGAACCGGACAGUUCUCUGAGUCUACAGAAAGGAACUCGGAGAGUCAUGAUAAUAUUGCGGGAAGAAGAAUUCGGCUUAUACGGCACGGAAUUUCCAAAAGUCCGUCUAAGGGAUAUAACAUUGUGCGGAGUCGACGAGCCCCGCUUGGUGAACUUUCUACCAAUUCGUUAGAAAACAUAGCGCAAUCGCCAGAAGAAUGUGUGUCGGAUUAUGAAAUGUCGGACGAUGAAAAUCAUGCUGUGGAUUUAACCCUUACAAAUAAAUUGAGUUUUAAUAAAAGUUCAAACAUCGACGAACAUUCAUCAGAUUCUCAAGAAUCUCAUGUGACUCAAAAUAAAUGCGAUGACGAUUCUA
This is a long non-coding RNA of Patella vulgata (common limpet), 875 nucleotides long. RefSeq lists it as uncharacterized. NCBI's taxonomy places the organism in Eukaryota, Metazoa, Mollusca, Gastropoda, Patellidae. The transcript is spliced from 4 exons. The record is from RefSeq and is a predicted model, not a curated record.